Molecule: ribosomal RNA, 906 nt
Filed under: uncultured archaeon
Lineage: Archaea
Description: bacterial SSU rRNA
Rfam family: Archaeal small subunit ribosomal RNA
Source: RNAcentral
CCCCACUGCUAUCGGGGUGGGACUAAAACAUGCAAGUCGAGCGCCUCCAAGCUAUGGUGAAGGCGCGGCAAACGGCUCAGUAACACGUGGCCAACCUACCCUUGGGACGGAGACAACCCCGGGAAACUGGGGCUAAUCCCCGAUAGGUAAGGAAUCCUGGAAUGGAUCUUUGCUGAAAGGGCGUCUGGACCAUGCUUCUUGACGUCGCCCAAGGAUGGAGCCGCGACCGAUCAGGUAGUUGGCGAGGCAACGGCUCACCAAGCCUAUAACCGGUACGGGCCGUGAGAGCGGGAGCCCGGAGAUGGGCACUGAGACAAGGGCCCAGGCCCUACGGGGCGCAGCAGUUGCGAAAACUCCGCAAUGCGCGAAAGCGUGACGGGGCUACCCCGAGUGCCGCCCGUUGAGGGCGGCUUUUCCGCGGUGUAAGGAGCCGUGGGAAUAAGGAGAGGGCAAGACUGGUGUCAGCCGCCGCGGUAAUACCAGCUCUCCGAGUGGUGGGGACGAUUAUUGGGCCUAAAGCGUUCGUAGCCGGCUUAACAAGUCUUCCGUUAAAUCCAACGAUCUAAUCGUUGGGCUGCGGGAGAUACUGUUGGGCUAGGAGGCGGGAGAAGCCGACGGUAUUCUCGGGGUAGGGGUGAAAUCCUGUAAUCCCGGGAGGACCACCAGUGGCGAAGGCGGUCGGCUAGAACGCGCUCGACGGUGAGGGACGAAAGCUGGGGGAGCGAACCGGAUUAGAAACCCGGGUAGUCCCAGCUGUAAACGAUGCGGGCUAGGUGUUGGGGUGGCCACGAGCCACUUCAGUGCCGCAUGGAAGCAAUUAAGCCCGCCGCCUGGGGAGUACGGCCGCAAGGCUGAAACUUAAAGGAAUUGGCGGGGGAGCACCACAAGGCGUGAAGCUUGCGGUUU